Molecule: ribosomal RNA, 80 nt
Filed under: Lacticaseibacillus paracasei
Lineage: Bacteria; Bacillati; Bacillota; Bacilli; Lactobacillales; Lactobacillaceae
Description: partial 16S ribosomal RNA
Rfam family: Bacterial small subunit ribosomal RNA
Source: RNAcentral
UUAUAUGAGAGUUUGAUCCUGGCUCAGGAUGAACGCUGGCGGCGUGCCUAAUACAUGCAAGUCGAACGAGUUCUCGUUGA